AUUGAACGCUGGCGGCAUGCCUUACACAUGCAAGUCGAACGGCAGCAUGGAGAGCUUGCUCUCUGAUGGCGAGUGGCGAACGGGUGAGUAAAGCAUCGGAACGUACCGUGUAGUGGGGGAUAACGUAGCGAAAGUUACGCUAAUACCGCAUACGCACCGAGGUGGAAAGCAGGGGAUCGUAAGACCUUGCGCUAUACGAGCGGCCUAUGUCAGAUUAGCUAGUUGGUAGGGUAAAGGCCUACCAAGGCGACGAUCUGUAGCGGGUCUGAGAGGAUGAUCCGCCACACUGGGACUGAGACACGGCCCAGACUCCUACGGGAGGCAGCAGUGGGGAAUUUUGGACAAUGGGGGCAACCCUGAUCCAGCCAUGCCGCGUGAGUGAAGAAGGCCUUCGGGUUGUAAAGCUCUUUCGGCCGGGAAGAAAUCGCACAGGCUAAUACCCUGUGUGGAUGACGGUACCGACAUAAGAAGCACCGGCUAACUACGUGCCAGCCGCCGCAGUAA
Molecule: ribosomal RNA, 504 nt
Filed under: uncultured bacterium
Lineage: Bacteria
Description: partial 16S ribosomal RNA
Rfam family: Bacterial small subunit ribosomal RNA
Source: RNAcentral